RNAcentral lists this unclassified non-coding RNA (458 nucleotides) under uncultured Leotiomycetes. RNAcentral's name for it is "sequence contains ITS1, 5.8S rRNA gene and ITS2". The stretch from base 106 to 259 matches the Rfam family "5.8S ribosomal RNA". The record is from RNAcentral. Lineage: Eukaryota; Fungi; Ascomycota; Leotiomycetes.
CAUUAUAGAAUGAACCCCCCCGCCCAAGGCUAACGCUGAAGGUGGGGUCCUCUUUUUAAACCCGUGCAAUUAGUGAAGUCUGAGUAUUAUUUACGAAAUAGUCAAAACUUUCAACAACGGAUCUCUUGGUUCUGGCAUCGAUGAAGAACGCAGCGAAAUGCGAUAAGUAAUGUGAAUUGCAGAAUUCAGUGAAUCAUCGAAUCUUUGAACGCACAUUGCGCCCUCUGGUAUUCCGGGGGGCAUGCCUGUUCGAGCGUCAUUACACCCCUCAAGCCUAGCUUGAUAUUGGGCUUGGCUAUUUAAACAGCCAGCCUUAAAAUGAGUGGCAGUACUAACUCAGCCCUAAGCGCAGUAAAUAUUUUACGCUUUUGGGCCUGGUUUAGUUUGCUUGCCAGAAACUACCAAAUUCAAAGGUUGACCUCGGAUCAGGUAGGGAUACCCGCUGAACUUAAGCAUAU